This 549-nucleotide ribosomal RNA is filed under the name uncultured bacterium. RNAcentral's name for it is "bacterial SSU rRNA". It matches the Rfam family "Bacterial small subunit ribosomal RNA", at positions 356 to 896 of the family's 1533-position model. The record is from RNAcentral.
GGGGAACCUUCCGCAAUGGACGAAAGUCUGACGGAGCAACGCCGCGUGAGUGAUGACGGCCUUCGGGUUGUAAAGCUCUGUUAAUCGGGACGAAAGGCCUUCUUGCGAAUAGUUAGAAGGAUUGACGGUACCGGAAUAGAAAGCCACGGCUAACUACGUGCCAGCAGCCGCGGUAAUACGUAGGUGGCAAGCGUUGUCCGGAAUUAUUGGGCGUAAAGCGCGCGCAGGCGGAUUGGUCAGUCUGUCUUAAAAGUUCGGGGCUUAACCCCGUGAUGGGAUGGAAACUGCCAAUCUAGAGUAUCGGAGAGGAAAGUGGAAUUCCUAGUGUAGCGGUGAAAUGCGUAGAUAUUAGGAAGAACACCAGUGGCGAAGGCGACUUUCUGGACGAAAACUGACGCUGAGGCGCGAAAGCCAGGGGAGCGAACGGGAUUAGAUACCCCGGUAGUCCUGGCCGUAAACGAUGGGUACUAGGUGUAGGAGGUAUCGACCCCUUCUGUGCCGGAGUUAACGCAAUAAGUACCCCGCCUGGGGAGUACGACCGCAAGGUUG